Molecule: ribosomal RNA, 253 nt
Filed under: uncultured bacterium
Lineage: Bacteria
Description: partial 16S ribosomal RNA
Rfam family: Bacterial small subunit ribosomal RNA
Source: RNAcentral
UACGUAGGGUGCAAGCGUUAAUCGGAAUUACUGGGCGUAAAGCGUGCGCAGGCGGUUGUGCAAGACCGAUGUGAAAUCCCCGGGCUUAACCUGGGAAUGGCAUUGGAAACUGGCGAGCUGGAGUGUGGCAGAGGGGGGUGGAAUUCCGCGUGUAGCAGUGAAAUGCGUAGAGAUGCGGAGGAACACCGAUGGCGAAGGCAGCCCCCUGGGUUAACACUGACGCUCAGGCACGAAAGCGUGGGGAGCAAACAGG